GGGCGCAUAGCUCAGUGGUAGAGCAUCUGCCUUUUAAGCAGAGGGUCGGUGGUUCGAAACCACCUGCGCUCA
Molecule: transfer RNA, 72 nt
Filed under: Ignavibacteria bacterium
Lineage: Bacteria; Pseudomonadati; Ignavibacteriota; Ignavibacteria
Description: tRNA-Lys
Rfam family: tRNA
About the family: Transfer RNA (tRNA) molecules are approximately 80 nucleotides in length. Their secondary structure includes four short double-helical elements and three loops (D, anti-codon, and T loops).
Source: RNAcentral